RNAcentral lists this ribosomal RNA (268 nucleotides) under uncultured prokaryote. RNAcentral describes it as "partial 16S ribosomal RNA". It matches the Rfam family "Bacterial small subunit ribosomal RNA", at positions 524 to 792 of the family's 1533-position model. The record is from RNAcentral.
UACGUAGGGGCUAGCGUUAUCCGGAAUUAUUGGGCGUAAAGAGCGCGCAGGUGGUUGAUUAAGUCUGAUGUGAAAGCCCACGGCUUAACCGUGGAGGGUCAUUGGAAACUGGUCGACUUGAGUGCAGAAGAGGGAAGCGGAAUUCCAUGUGUAGCGGUGAAAUGCGUAGAGAUAUGGAGGAACACCAGUGGCGAAGGCGGCUUCCUGGUCUGUAACUGACACUGAGGCGCGAAAGCGUGGGGAGCAAACAGGAUUAGAUACCCUGGUA